UGGGGAAUUUUGGACAAUGGGCGAAAGCCUGAUCCAGCAAUGCCGCGUGCAGGAUGAAGGCCUUCGGGUUGUAAACUGCUUUUGUACGGAACGAAAAAGCUUCUCCUAAUACGAGAGGCCCAUGACGGUACCGUAAGAAUAAGCGCCGGCUAACUACGUGCCAGCAGCCGCGGUAAUACGUAGGGUGCGAGCGUUAAUCGGAAUUACUGGGCGUAAAGCGUGCGCAGGCGGUUAUGUAAGACAGAUGUGAAAUCCCCGGGCUCAACCUGGGAACUGCAUUUGUGACUGCAUGGCUAGAGUACGGUAGAGGGGGAUGGAAUUCCGCGUGUAGCAGUGAAAUGCGUAGAUAUGCGGAGGGACACCGAUGGCGAAGGCAAUCCCCUGGACCUGUACUGACGCUCAUGCACGAAAGCGUGGGGAGCAAACAGGAUUAGAUACCCUGGUAGUCCACGCCCUAAACGAUGUCAACUGGUUGUUGGGAAUUAGUUUUCUCAGUAACGAAGCUAGCGCGUGAAGUUGACCGCCUGGGGAGUACGGCCGCAAGGUUG
Molecule: ribosomal RNA, 548 nt
Filed under: uncultured bacterium
Lineage: Bacteria
Description: bacterial SSU rRNA
Rfam family: Bacterial small subunit ribosomal RNA
Source: RNAcentral